This 506-nucleotide ribosomal RNA is filed under the name uncultured bacterium. Its description in RNAcentral is "partial 16S ribosomal RNA". It matches the Rfam family "Bacterial small subunit ribosomal RNA", at positions 30 to 523 of the family's 1533-position model. The record is from RNAcentral.
AUUGAACGCUGGCGGCAGGCUUAACACAUGCAAGUCGAACGGCAGCACAGAAGAGCUUGCUCUUUGGGUGGCGAGUGGCGGACGGGUGAGUAAUGUCUGGGAAACUGCCCGAUGGAGGGGGAUAACUACUGGAAACGGUAGCUAAUACCGCAUAACGUCGCGAGACCAAAGUGGGGGACCUUCGGGCCUCACACCAUCGGAUGUGCCCAGAUGGGAUUAGCUAGUAGGUGGGGUAAUGGCUCACCUAGGCGACGAUCCCUAGCUGGUCUGAGGGGAUGACCAGCCACACUGGAACUGAGACACGGUCCAGACUCCUACGGGAGGCAGCAGUGGGGAAUAUUGCACAAUGGGCGCAAGCCUGAUGCAGCCAUGCCGCGUGUAUGAAGAAGGCCUUCGGGUUGUAAAGUACUUUCAGCGGGGAGGAAGGCGGUGAGGUUAAUAACCUUGCCGAUUGACGUUACCCGCAGAAGAAGCACCGGCUAACUCCGUGCCAGCCGCCGCGGUAA